AUUGAACGCUGGCGGCAGGCCUAACACAUGCAAGUCGAACGAGUGGCGGACGGGUGAGUAAUGUCUGGGAAACUGCCCGAUGGAGGGGGAUAACUACUGGAAACGGUAGCUAAUACCGCAUACCAUCGGAUGUGCCCAGAUGGGAUUAGCUUGUAGGUGGGGUAACGGCUCACCUAGGCGACGAUCCCUAGCUGGUCUGAGAGGAGGACCAGCUACACUGGAACGGAGACACGGUCCAGACUCCUACGGGAGGCAGGAGUGGGGAGUAUUGCAAAAUGGGCGCAAGCCUGAUGCAGGCAGGCCGCGGGUAUGAAGAAGGCCUUCGGGUUGUAAAGGACUUUCAGCGGGGAGGCGUUACCCGAAGAAGAAGCACCGGCUAACUCCGUGCCAGCAGCCGCGGUAAUAC
This 406-nucleotide ribosomal RNA is filed under the name uncultured bacterium. RNAcentral's name for it is "partial 16S ribosomal RNA". It matches the Rfam family "Bacterial small subunit ribosomal RNA", at positions 29 to 526 of the family's 1533-position model. The record is from RNAcentral.